This is a long non-coding RNA of Mesocricetus auratus (golden hamster), 3048 nucleotides long. RefSeq lists it as uncharacterized. The transcript has 4 exons. The record is from RefSeq and is a predicted model, not a curated record. Lineage: Eukaryota; Metazoa; Chordata; Mammalia; Rodentia; Cricetidae.
GAUCCAACUGCCUCCCUGGGGCUCUGUCAACCAGAGCUUUGGGUACACUGGGCUGAAAUCAAAGCUCCACAUCAAGUUGCCACGAAACAUUUCUGUACCCAGAAGAGUGCACUGGUGUAUGGUGGCCUGUUUGAGAAAGGGAAGUCAUUAGUGGGGGUUACAACUGAGUAUUAAAGGAGUGUAGGUGGAUCCAGUAUAGAGAGGUUCAGUCAAGGAAUCAGGAAGGGAGCAAAAAGGACGAUGGUGUAACUGUGAUUAAAGAACCCCUCUUUCAUCAUUAGGACUAGUCAACAUUAGAUGAGGAGGUGUGUUCUCGUGCCUGGACCACAGACCGGGUGAGGACCUGCAUUCUCAUGGCUGAACCAUGGGCCAGCAGGUUGGAUCUUGGUGGAGUCAGUUUUUCCAGAGUUCACUGGGGUGUUGUUUUCUCAUUUGGACUCCUUCCUGGUUUUGGCAGAUGAUGCUGUGUAUGUGCUGAGUUUUACAGCUUGAAUGGUACUUCCAUUAUGGAGUCUGGGAGCUUACUAAGAUGUGGGGUCCUAUUACACAGUGAUCUCUCAAGUCACAUGUUUCAGUAACAUGAAGAUAACAGAAGUAAAACUGGUACCAGGAGUGAACUCAUUACUCUCCAAAGGUUGGAUGAAUUGUUAGAAUUGCCUAACAGGAAAAUUUGGAAGAAAGUGCUAAAGAAGGCUUACAAUGCUGUAAGAUGAGCAUUAUGGAUAAUUUUUGGGAAGAAUCAGAAGAAUUUGGUUACACUCUGUGAACUUUGGAACUUUGAUGAAAGCUGACCUUAGAGACGAUGGGCUAAUCAGUUCUUAUGUUGAUCCAUCUGGAGUUCAAUUUUGUGCAGGGUGGGCUAUAACGAUCUAGUUUCAUUAUGCUAUAGUAGGUAUCCAGUUUGACCACCAUCAUUUGUAGAAAGGUUCUGACUUUUCUCCCAUGUAUAUUGUUGGCGUAUGGACUUAUUUCUGCAUCCUCACUUCUGUUCCAUUGGUUAAUAUGUCUGUUUUAAUGCCAGUACCACAUUGCUCUUAUUACUAUAGCUCUGGCCAAGAACAUGAAAUCUACAAGGGUGGUAAUUCCCACAGUGUUUUUAUUGGUCAAGAUAGUUUUGACUAUCCUGGGUCUUUGGAUUUCCAUAUAAAAUUUGAUUAGUUUUUCAAUGUGUGUAAAGAUAGGAAUUUUGAUGCAUUACAAUGAAUCUGUAGAUGCCUUUAGUGAAAUGACUAUUUUCUCAUUAUUAAUCCCACCAAUCCACGAACAUGAGAUGUCUUUCCAUGUUCUGGUAUCUUCUUCUGUUUCUCUUCAGCGUAUUAAGUGCUCAUCCUUGGUUAGAUUAAUUCCAAGAUAUUUUUGAGACUAAGAUUGUAAGAGUCAGAGGUGAUGGAUGACUAAAAAAAUAAACAGUUUCCUAGACACAGCAUGUCAGUUUCACAUCUGAAUUCAAAUAAGUUAAGAUAGCAUCUUGAGACUUGUGCAAGCUCAAGCCAGACAAAAUCCCACCGUGAAAAAGGGAGGUGAACAUGAACUCCCAGCCCUAGCUGAGAAGUUAUUGGCUAUUGAUAAGAAUCAAAGAGCAAGAAUCAGUUUUCCUUAAGGGUGUGACCUCUGGAGGGCUGGCUACACUCCAGGGUAUAUGUGUAUACACAAAGUUAAGUAGGUAGGGAAGGGCGUUGAGCCUGGGAGGAGUAGGAGAAGGGAGUGAAUAUGAUUUUUUAAAACUGUAAUAAAUUCUUUAAAAAUAACAAGAAAAAAUAAUGCUUAUUCUUUGUGGAGAUCUCAAAAUAUUUGCUGGGUUUGUUCAUGUAUAUGCUCCCUCACCAAACUGAGCCAAUGCAGGAUCACCUUUGAACUUCUAAGCCUGGAAGCUAAACAACGUUUUUCUCUUAAGUUACUUGCCUUGGGCAUUUCAUUAUAUCAUUGCAAAACUGACCAGUGUAGAAUGUUAUAAAAUCUUUAGACUUAUCUAGUGUAUCUGCAAUGUUUUAUGUGUAUUUGUUAAAAUAACAGUCAUGUUGAUAAGCUUUGUACAUAACAAAUACCUAAGAUGUACCAUCUCAUAAGCAGAGGUUUAUUUUGGGCUAGCUAUAGACAUGUGGCCAUGUGGCCAUGUGGCCAUGUGGCCAUGUGGCCAUGUGGCCAUGUGGCCAUGUUGCUCUGGGACCUGUGUAAGACAGGAGAACACUCAGGGAGAAUGUUUCAGGAGCUUCCUAUUUCAUGAUAGCAAGGGAAAAAAGAGAGAGGAAGGUGCCUGCAUGCCAAAAACCCCUCCAAAGGAACACGCCCAGAGACCUAACUUCCUCCCAUGGACCCAUCUCUUAAUGGUUCCACAAUUUCUCAGUGGUGCUACAGGCCUAGGACCAAGCCAUCAACAAGUACAACUCCGGAAGAUUCAGAAUCAAAACUAUGGCAGAAAUGAUGUUUUUAUUUAACUAUUCUUUAUCAACAAAAACUCGGGAGUCAGAUAUCAGGGUAAGAAGCUGAAUGAUCACAGAGGUGGUGGUGAAGUGGCCAGUAAGCUCCUAUCUCUUUCACUCCUCUAUCUAAAAGGGGCUGAGAUCCUCUCUAAGCCCUGCCUUACUACUUCCUGUGUCUAUCUAUUCUCAGUCCUCCAAAAUCUCUAUGGUUAAUUUUGGUCAGCUAGUAGCUAGCUCUGCCCUCUGAUUCAAAACAAACUUUAUUGUCAUUCUUGGGAGUGUCAGAGUGUAAUCAAAAUGUCACACGACAAAGCAACAGUGGUGCAUGUGCACUGACUGCAUUAAUGAGCAGUGUAAUUACAGGUGACCUUCUCUUGUGUGAAUCUCUUCUAGCUUUCAAGGAUAUACUUUGACAACAAAUAAAUAUAACACCAAACAAAGGAAGAAAUAAUAAAGACAAUUUAUAUGAAUUUAUUAGCAAGUUCUUGGUUUGGGAAACACUACAGAAGAUGUUCUUGCCAAAGAAUAUAUUGGUUUUCAUCAAAUUCAGACCUGCUUCACACAAGCAAUGAUGUCAUCUCAAACACAGUACCAUCAGUUUCAUAGCAUCGUCCAUCCCCCAAAGCUA